GGGGACGUUACGGAUUCGACAGGGGUGGUCUGAGCUUGAGCUGCGCGUCGGAGGGCUCGACUCCGUCAGAAACGGCAGUUAAUAAUAACUGGCAAAACAAACAACAACUUAGCAUUCGCAGCGUAAGCUGAUGAAUCUGCCUAGCAGUUCCAUCGCCCAUGUGGCAUUGUUAGGCUCACCUAUUAGUGGGAUACGGUAACGGUCGCCUCCUGAGGCCGUUGCAAGAGACUUCCAGGAUAGCGCUCAAGACGCCUUGAUUGACGGCAUAAUGCAGCGCGAACCGUAAGUAGUCAAUCUACACGCGUAGACGCUUAAGUAUUGGAGCCUUUGGACGUGGGUUCGACUCCCACCGUCUCCAUAG
This 361-nucleotide transfer-messenger RNA is filed under the name Caryophanaceae. RNAcentral's name for it is "Sporosarcina sp017498505 Standard tmRNA". It matches the Rfam family "transfer-messenger RNA". Rfam says of the family: Bacterial tmRNA, also known as 10Sa RNA or SsrA, is named for its dual tRNA and mRNA-like properties. Its role is to liberate the mRNA from a stalled ribosome. To accomplish this part of the tmRNA is used as a reading frame that ends in a translation stop signal. The record is from RNAcentral. RNAcentral also lists the same sequence under 1 other name. Lineage: Bacteria; Bacillati; Bacillota; Bacilli; Caryophanales.